UGCAGUCGAGCGAACAGACAGGAGCUUGCUCCUUUGACGUUAGCGGCGGACGGGUGAGUAACACGUGGGUAACCUACCUAUAAGACUGGGAUAACUUCGGGAAACCGGAGCUAAUACCGGAUAAUAUUUCGAACCGCAUGGUUCGAUAGUGAAAGAUGGUUUUGCUAUCACUUAUAGAUGGACCCGCGCCGUAUUAGCUAGUUGGUAAGAUAACGGCUUACCAAGGCGACGAUACGUAGCCGACCUGAGAGGGUGAUCGGCCACACUGGAACUGAGACACGGUCCAGACUCCUACGGGAGGCAGCAGUAGGGAAUCUUCCGCAAUGGGCGAAAGCCUGACGGAGCAACGCCGCGUGAGUGAUGAAGGUCUUCGGAUCGUAAAACUCUGUUAUUAGGGAAGAACAUACGUGUAAGUAACUGUGCACGUCUUGACGGUACCUAAUCAGAAAGCCACGGCUAACUACGUGCCAGCAGCCGCGGUAAUACGUAGGUGGCAAGCGUUAUCCGGAAUUAUUGGGCGUAAAGCGCGCGUAGGCGGUUUUUUAAGUCUGAUGUGAAAGCCCACGGCUCAACCGUGGAGGGUCAUUGGAAACUGGAAAACUUGAGUGCAGAAGAGGAAAGUGGAAUUCCAUGUGUAGCGGUGAAAUGCGCAGAGAUAUGGAGGAACACCAGUGGCGAAGGCGACUUUCUGGUCUGUAACUGACGCUGAUGUGCG
This 715-nucleotide ribosomal RNA is filed under the name Staphylococcus sp. Y59-MSE-E14. RNAcentral's name for it is "bacterial SSU rRNA". It matches the Rfam family "Bacterial small subunit ribosomal RNA", at positions 56 to 755 of the family's 1533-position model. The record is from RNAcentral. Lineage: Bacteria; Bacillati; Bacillota; Bacilli; Caryophanales; Staphylococcaceae.